Molecule: ribosomal RNA, 201 nt
Filed under: uncultured bacterium
Lineage: Bacteria
Description: partial 16S ribosomal RNA
Rfam family: Bacterial small subunit ribosomal RNA
Source: RNAcentral
AUUACUCCUACGGGAGGCAGCAGUGGGGAAUAUUGCACAAUGGGCGCAAGCCUGAUGCAGCCAUGCCGCGUGUAUGAAGAAGGCCUUCGGGUUGUAAAGUACUUUCAGCGAGGAGGAAGGCGUUGUGGUUAAUAACCGCAGCGAUUGACGUUACUCGCAGAAGAAGCACCGGCUAACUCCGUGCCAGCAGCCGCGGUAAUA